Molecule: long non-coding RNA, 361 nt
Organism: Cornus florida
Lineage: Eukaryota; Viridiplantae; Streptophyta; Magnoliopsida; Cornales; Cornaceae
Exons: 4
Source: RefSeq, a predicted model, not a curated record
GGGGCCGCAAGUGCUUUGGAUGAAGAAAAUUUUUGUUCUAGUCCACAACUUUCGACACUUGCUACAACUGCUGCUUCUGGAGAAGCUUGCACACCACUUAUUGAUGUCCAACUGUCACCAAAGAAGGCUCUCUGUCACGCAAUGCUAAAGAGUCGCUUUGCAGAUACUAUCUUGAGAGCAGAACAGAAGAUACUUUUAAAUCAUGGUGGUAAAGCUGAUGUGUUAAAAAUGCAGCAGGACAAGGAAAAAAUGGAAAGAAUGCAGCAUGAAGAGAUGUUAAGAAUUCAAGCUGAAAUCAAGGCUGCUGAAGCUGCCUCGCGACUAAGAGCAAAAGCUGAACUGAAAAUGCAGCGGGAGAGAG